CAGUGACCCAGAGUCUCUACCCCCGCUUUGCCCCAACACGCAGCACCGUGACAGCAGACCCAGCCCCACCCAACUCGGCUCCCAUUGGUGCCUCAGGAUCCUGGUCCCCGCCCACCUCUUCUUCUAUUGCAGCACUGGACUAAGGGCCACGCCCACCUCUUUUGCCAUUGGGCAACGGGUCUCCCUGCCUCGCCCGCCUCUUCUUCUAUUGGGCGAUCGAAACCCUCAGCCCCGCCUUACUCUUUUCCUAUUGGGGGCAGGGUAUUCGGAAUCCCGCCUCCUCUUGUUCCCAUGGGGGCACAGCGCCUCAGUUGCUAGGCUAGUUCUCCCGCGCUAUUGAUGCUGUCGCCCGUCGAUCACGGAUUUCCACGCCCCCUGCAGGAGCGGGGCGGCCUCUUUCAUUGCGAGUAGAGUUUUGGGAGUAUUUAAACUGGAGCAAAGGCCUUGAGUUCGAACCCAGUCCCCCCACACCUAGGAUCCCAGCCUAUUCCCACGCCAGCGAUUUGAGGCUGCAGGAGGCUGAGCCCAUUCACAGCGAAGUUGGGCCCCAUGUAGCUGAGGGGUUUGUCCCUGCAGCCAUUGGCUUCAAUAGAGCCCUACUCUGAGUGCUGGGCAGUGCAGUGGGUCAUUUCAAUGAACAAGCCCUAAGAACAACAUAACAAGGAGACCACUGGUUUUGGGAGGCAGGAGACCCAGGCCUUCAUCUUGGCUCUGUAACCCAGGCUGCUGGCCUGCUCACAUCAGGACUGGAUGAGACCCAAUGGCUCUCCUGGCUCACACCUCAGAAAGCGCAUAUAUAAGUAACAGCAGAGCUCUGUAAGGUCUUGAAGACAAGGAUGAGAAGUUUAAACUUGAUGUGGCGAAAAAGAUGGAGCCAAUGGAAGGAUUCAAAGGAGUGACAUAGACCAACAGGUUUCAUUAUGGCAGACAGCUAAAGGAAGGACAGGAGCUAAAUUCCUGAAGUGGUAGAACUGAUGGUUAAAUUGUACUUCACUGGAUUUUUACUCUUAGUUUAUGUUUUUCCUUUUGUUAUGAAAAACUCAAACAACUGUCCUGUUAAUUACCAUGUGAAGUUUCAGAACAGCAGU
Mauremys reevesii (Reeves's turtle) is the source of this 1088-nucleotide long non-coding RNA. RefSeq lists it as uncharacterized. NCBI's taxonomy places the organism in Eukaryota, Metazoa, Chordata, Testudines, Geoemydidae. The record is from RefSeq and is a predicted model, not a curated record. The transcript has 4 exons.